Molecule: ribosomal RNA, 583 nt
Filed under: Pseudomonas sp. Tn24
Lineage: Bacteria; Pseudomonadati; Pseudomonadota; Gammaproteobacteria; Pseudomonadales; Pseudomonadaceae
Description: bacterial SSU rRNA
Rfam family: Bacterial small subunit ribosomal RNA
Source: RNAcentral
UUGCGCUAUCAGAUGAGCCUAGGUCGGAUUAGCUAGUUGGUGGGGUAAUGGCUCACCAAGGCGACGAUCCGUAACUGGUCUGAGAGGAUGAUCAGUCACACUGGAACUGAGACACGGUCCAGACUCCUACGGGAGGCAGCAGUGGGGAAUAUUGGACAAUGGGCGAAAGCCUGAUCCAGCCAUGCCGCGUGUGUGAAGAAGGUCUUCGGAUUGUAAAGCACUUUAAGUUGGGAGGAAGGGCAGUAAAUUAAUACUUUGCUGUUUUGACGUUACCGACAGAAUAAGCACCGGCUAACUCUGUGCCAGCAGCCGCGGUAAUACAGAGGGUGCAAGCGUUAAUCGGAAUUACUGGGCGUAAAGCGCGCGUAGGUGGUUAGUUAAGUUGGAUGUGAAAUCCCCGGGCUCAACCUGGCAACUGCAUUCAAAACUGACUGACUAGAGUAUGGUAGAGGGUGGUGGAAUUUCCUGUGUAGCGGUGAAAUGCGUAGAUAUAGGAAGGAACACCAGUGGCGAAGGCGACCACCUGGACUGAUACUGACACUGAGGUGCGAAAGCGUCGGGAGCAAACAGGAUUAGAUACCCU